Molecule: ribosomal RNA, 492 nt
Filed under: uncultured bacterium
Lineage: Bacteria
Description: partial 16S ribosomal RNA
Rfam family: Bacterial small subunit ribosomal RNA
Source: RNAcentral
AGUGAACGCUGGCGGUAGGCCUAACACAUGCAAGUCGAACGGCAGCACAGUAAGAGCUUGCUCUUACGGGUGGCGAGUGGCGGACGGGGGAGGAAUACAUCGGAAUCUACUUUUUCGUGGGGGAUAACGUAGGGAAACUUACGCUAAUACCGCAUACGACCUACGGGUGAAAGCAGGGGAUCUUCGGAACUUGCGCGAUUGAAUGAGCCGAUGUCGGAUUAGCUAGUUGGCGGGGUAAAGGCCCACCAAGGCGACGAUCCGUAGCUGGUCUGAGAGGAUGAUCAGCCACACUGGAACUGAGACACGGUCCAGACUCCUACGGGAGGCAGCAGUGGGGAAUAUUGGACAAUGGGCGCAAGCCUGAUCCAGCCAUACCGCGUGGGUGAAGAAGGCCUUCGGGUUGUAAAGCCCUUUUGUUGGGAAAGAAAAGCAGCAGGUUAAUACCCCGCUGUUCUGACGGUACCCAAAGAAUAAGCACCGGCUAACUUCGUG